Molecule: long non-coding RNA, 2455 nt
Organism: Papaver somniferum (opium poppy)
Lineage: Eukaryota; Viridiplantae; Streptophyta; Magnoliopsida; Ranunculales; Papaveraceae
Exons: 3
Source: RefSeq, a predicted model, not a curated record
AAUACCAUCUCCAUCGGCUUCACUAUCUUCCUCUCCUUAGACAUAAUACCAGUCGAAUCAUCACCAGAAAUCAUCUCUUCAUUCCAACAAUACCAUUAAAUCAACACUGCUCAUCCAAAUCCAAAUUUUACGAAUCACCAGAAUUCAUUUUCUCCAAAUCCCUAAACUUAGAAUACGAAACCCUAGAAUUUGUCAAUGGUAAACCUUUGGUUCUUCUCAAAUGAACCGGUAAGAAUCAAAAUCUUUCUUCAAUCCUUUUGAAUUCACACACAGAUGUUGUACCAGCUGAACAUCAUAAGUGGAAUCAUUUUCCAUUCGAUGUGAAUGUUGAUGAAUUCGGUGAUAUCUACGCGAGAGGUUCACAUGAUAUGAAAUGUGUUUGAUUGCAGUAUCUCGAAGCGAUUAGGUGAUUGAAUGGGUCUGGUUUUUAACCGAUUCGAACUGUUCAGUACCUGAUGAAGAGAUUGGUGGUCAUCAUGGUGCGGAGAAAUUCGCCGAGAAAUUCAAGAAGAUAUGUUGGAAUCGUCCUCCAUGAGGGUGAUGGAGUUGCAACAAAGAAAUGGGGCAUUGUAUUUGAUCUCUUUUGCAAUCUUGCAAGGUUACUUGAAUUCUGUACUAGCGAGAUCCCUGAAGCAUCCCUAUCAGGAUCUGAUAUCAAUCUUUGAAGGCUGAUAGUUUGUAUUUUCUCCAAUUCGCUAACUUCGUUAGUUGCUGAUACUUGAUAUGCACUUGGAUUUUUGUAUUCCAGGUAAGAAAGCUAAGGAUUGGUAAAGAGAAAGCUGCGUGCAUUACUCAAGAUAUGCAACAAGCGACAUGGAAAAUCAUUGAUUUAGAUGAGUUCAUCUUCUUCAUCUUUUUUAUCGUAACUAGGGUGUACGAAGUUGUGCACAUGUUAGAAAAUGACACAUAGUUGGUUAUGGAGAUUCCUCAUAGUGUAUUCGCUUGCAUUAUUUUGUGGAUACUCAAAUGGUUGUUUCCUUGUUGAUGAGACCUCGGUCACAUAGUUAUACACAUAUUCAUUCUUAAUUUGAAUAUAUAAUUGUACACAUGUUGAUUGGUAGUGUGUACAUAGUUGUACACUUGUUGAUUUUUAGUGUGUACAUAAUUGUACACCAGUUAUAUGAUGUGGUCUUCUUAUCGAAUUUGGUUGCUGGACGAUUGUGCUCUAAAACAACUUUUGAUUGAUGGCACUAUCGCUGCCUACGCGCUAGAUGGCACUGAAGGGCCACAAUGGAUAGAAGCAUCGGUAUGAGCAUUAACCUUAGGGUAUGAAUUGUAAUUUAGGAAUGAGUAGUAACAUUACUGCACGAGUAGUAACAUAGUUGUACACCUUUCGAUCGCUAAUGUGUGCAUAAUUGUACACCUAUUGGUCAUGUCCAUUUUUUUUUAUUUUGGUGAAUGGAUGUGCUGAUAACCUCCGUUCCAAGAAUUGAUUUGCUAGGAAUUUACAUGAAAAUGAAUGGAGGCUUCACCGCAUCUUUUGGAGGUGAACUCUGUUGCACUUAUUUGUAUUAUUAAAUUUAGAUGUAUAUAUAGGGUUUGCAACACCAAAUGUAUUAGUUCAUGAUUAGAGGCGCUAAUGUUUGCGAUGCAUUACAGUUGGGUAUAUAUAGGAUUUCAGACCCAUUACAUUCAUUUUAUCCAUUGUGGUAGAGCAAUGCACCUUUGACAUCAAUUGUUUUUCGCUUUAUGCAUCUAAUUUAGGGAGUCACAAGCUCAGAAUGGUAGAGCGAGCACCCAAGCCUAUCACAAUGUUUGUGGAGGUUGAUGGUUCAAAUCCAUCUGAAUUUUCAUGUUAUGUUUUUACAAUACGGAUAGGUGUGUUCAUACUAGUGCACCUGUGUAAAUCCAAUGAAAUAGAUUUGUUUGUAGGCGAAUAUAGUUGAUUUGUUCUAUUUAUUGUAUGGUGUAUACAUAUAUGUGCACCAGUGUAGUUUCCAUGAAAUAUAGAUCGGUGUGUGGGUAUGAAUGGUCAAUUUUAUCGAUGAAUGUCUUCUAGGGGUGUAAAUGUGCAUUUGUGUGAUUCCCAUGAAAAAGUAGGUUGUGUAUGGUUAUGAAUGAACAAUUUUAUGCAUGAUUGGAGGAGUGUAUAUAUUGGUAUACCCAUGAAAUUCCCAUGAAGGAGGUUAGGGUGUGCUUAUGAAUAAUCGACUUUAUGCAUGUUUUGCAGCGCUGCACAUAUUGAUGCACCAGUGUAUCUUCCACAAAAAAGUAAAAUUGUGUGUGAUUAUGAAUAAAAUGUUUCAUGCAUGUUUUGCAGGGGUGUCAUAUUGGAGGACCAGUGUAAUUCCGAUGAAAAAGUAGGUCUGGAUAUGAAUGACCAACAUGUUUUGUAGAUAAAGACAAAGUGGUGAUGUUGUUCACAAAUGACGGCAAAAUUUGUGCAUGUAUACUUUUUUGUACACGUCAAAUAAUGAAGCGAAAAUUAAAACUUUUAAAAUCUGAAAAUUAUAUA